CAAUCCUGAGGGGACAGCCCAUCGGAGAAGGACACCAGCCCCAACCAUCUCGUAGGCUGACAUAGAACCAGGCAGGCAUUGUAGACCCGUUUCCCAUCGCUGGUGUCCCCAUGAAGCUCUGACCAGGCCAAAGGAGAAAACCAGAAACACGAGAAGAGAAACACUGCCCUUUGAAAAACACUUCAGAUGGAUGAAAUAAAUGUUG
RNAcentral lists this long non-coding RNA (205 nucleotides) under Mustela putorius furo (domestic ferret). RNAcentral's name for it is "lncRNA (ENSMPUG00000026243.1)". The record is from RNAcentral. Lineage: Eukaryota; Metazoa; Chordata; Mammalia; Carnivora; Mustelidae.